AUUGAACGCUGGCGGCAGGCCUAACACAUGCAAGUCGAAUGGUAACAGGAAACAGCUUGCUGUUUCGCUGACGAGUGGCGGACGGGUGAGUAAUGUCUGGGAAACUGCCUGAUGGAUGGGGAUAACUACUGGAAACGGUAGCUAAUACCGCAUAACGUCGCAAGACCAAAGAGGGGGACCUUCGGGCCUCUUGCCAUCAGAUGUGCCCAGAUGGGAUUAGCUAGUAGGUGGGGUAACGGCUCACCUAGGCGACGAUCCCUAGCUGGUCUGAGAGGAUGACCAGCCACACUGGAACUGAGACACGGUCCAGACUCCUACGGGAGGCAGCAGUGGGGAAUAUUGCACAAUGGGCGAAAGCCUGAUGCAGCCAUGCCGCGUGUAUGAAGAAGGCCUUCGGGUUGUAAAGUACUUUUAGCGGGGAGGAAGGGAGUAAAGUUAAUACCUUUGCUCAUUGACGUUACCCGCAGAAGAAGCACCGGCUAACUCCGUG
Molecule: ribosomal RNA, 490 nt
Filed under: uncultured bacterium
Lineage: Bacteria
Description: partial 16S ribosomal RNA
Rfam family: Bacterial small subunit ribosomal RNA
Source: RNAcentral